This is an RNA transcript of Styela clava, 1899 nucleotides long. It is a transcript of the gene named sulfotransferase 6B1-like, with no coding region annotated. NCBI's taxonomy places the organism in Eukaryota, Metazoa, Chordata, Ascidiacea, Stolidobranchia, Styelidae. The record is from RefSeq and is a predicted model, not a curated record.
UAGGAAUUGUUCUGCGUGUCCAUAUAUUUGAGCAUUGCUCUCUUGUUUGAUUGAUGAAAGUAUUUGGGGGAGGAACAGAGGUGCUGUUUACUGAGUUGGGGGGAUUGAAUCGAUAAAAAUAUUUUAUCCACUGCGUAGAAAUUAUUCCUACCAUUAUUCAUUUUUUAAAAUGGAAGCUUUCAUUUCUGCAAUCCCGAAUGAAAAGCGAUGGAUUUUUGAACAAACUAUGAAUGAUAUCAACGAUCAUUUUGACGGAGUUCUCAGGUUCAAAGAAACGGAAUGGAAGGGACAUCGUUUUCUUCCUGGAUUUGAAGCAGAAACUGCAAAAUAUGCAUACGAAAAACUGGAAGUUGAACAAAAUUCAGUUUUCCUCGCAUCUUUCCCAAAGACGGGCGUAAAUUGGACAUCGGCGAUCGUAAGUCAAUUAUUAUAUGGACCGAAUGGACUAGGGAUGUUUCCACCAUUGGAAAAAAUGGAAUUAGUCAAAGCGUCGAAAUUUCAGUUAUUGGAAUAUCUGCCUGUUCAUCCUAAAUGUUUUCAAACUCAUUUACCAGAAAAUUUGGUGAACGUCGCAAAAAUAAAAAAGAGUGGUGGGAAGAUCAUUGUCAUUCUACGCAAUCCUAAAGAUCAAGCUGUUUCCUGGUAUCAUUUUUGCAGCAAAAGUGGACCUUUCGACAACGCCCGAUACGCAUUCAGUUUGGAUUGGCCACAAUUUUCCUCGGACUAUAUUCAGGGAAAACAAUUAACAUUCAUGAAAGAUGGAGAUUGUUAUGCUGAACACAUACUGGGAUGGUAUAAACAUAAGGACGAAGAUAAUGUCAUGUUCAUUUAUUAUGAAGAUAUGAAACGAGUAAGCGUGUUAUCAUCAACAGACAACGACAUACAUGAGACACGAAACAAGAAAUUAGACGUUUGGCAAAAUUUUUGAACGUUGAAGUUGAUGAUAAGAGAGUGGAGGAAAUAGAAAAUGCGACUACGUUUAGUGUCAUGAAACAGACAUCUCAUCCAAAUCUUUCAAAAAUAAAUCUAUUCAGAAAAGGGGAGGUCGGAAACUGGAAGCAGCUGAUGACUGUCGCACAAUCGGAAUUGAUGGACAAAUUGAUUGAGAAUAAAUUGGGGCAUACUGACAUCAAAUUUGUUUACGAGCUAAAAUAAUAAAUUCGCACUUUCUAAAAUUUGCGAAUAUUUCUAUGUAUCUUAACAUUACUAUCAUUUUAUUAUUUACAAAAUAUUAAACGCUUUUGUGUAUCCACAAUCAUCUAAAAUUAUUUAGAUUUAUUCUUUCAAUUUUCAUUUUCAAUUUCAAUUUUAAUAUACCAACAUUUAUUUUCACCUCAACAAAUGUCAAUAUUGUUUUUUCAUUGUAUUCUUAUCACAGUCUGACAGUAUCAAAUCAUUUAUAUUUGUUCCUAAUAUUUUUCUUGUUAGCUUACAAGCAGUACGGUACUGGUACUGAGAUAACGCGUCAGGACACCAAUGGUGAAUAUUUAUUUCAACAUCCAGCGUGCUAAUUUCACUUUAUUUAAUUACCUGAUCGGUGUCCAUUGCUAUAUCGCUUCGUACUGUCAUAGCACAACCACGUUGUGGUCAGGUCACCUUCAAAAUUCCCCAGUUAUUCUACAGAACAACAUUUCGCUACAGCUAGGUCUAUGCAAACGGGAAAUCCCCCGUUAUUCGCUGCUAUUAUGGCACAUUUAAUGCACGGUAAUUUUUAGUAAUAAUAUACAACAAUUGCAAUUAGUUAGCUCUUUUGUAAAAUUUAUAUGGUAUCUAUUCGUUGAAACUCUUUCCCCGAUCUGUCAAACUAGGUGUUAGAACCUUGGGUGUCGCAGCUCGAUAACCAGUUUUGGUUCCCCGCGGCUUCCCUUCCCCAGUAAUUUAAAUAUCAUUUUUUCUAUA